UACGAAGGGGGCUAGCGUUGCUCGGAAUCACUGGGCGUAAAGGGUGCGUAGGCGGGUCUUUAAGUCAGGGGUGAAAUCCUGGAGCUCAACUCCAGAACUGCCUUUGAUACUGGCGAUCUUGAGUCCGGGAGAGGUGAGUGGAACUGCGAGUGUAGAGGUGAAAUUCGUAGAUAUUCGCAAGAACACCAGUGGCGAAGGCGGCUCACUGGCCCGGUACUGACGCUGAGGCACGAAAGCGUGGGGAGCGAACAGG
RNAcentral lists this ribosomal RNA (253 nucleotides) under uncultured bacterium. RNAcentral describes it as "partial 16S ribosomal RNA". It matches the Rfam family "Bacterial small subunit ribosomal RNA", at positions 524 to 776 of the family's 1533-position model. The record is from RNAcentral.